GUUUCUGCACUUUUGUUUUUAGCUGCAUAUAUAAUAAAAUCAAUGAUCCUUAUUGUUACAGCUCAGCCUUCCUUCCACAGCUAGAGUCCCCCAUCCUCUCUUUCAACCCAAGCGCCAGAGAGAGAGAGAGAGAAGUGGGAGGAGGGUUGCCUUCUACAAUUCGGCCUACAGAGCAUUCUUGUUUUUAUCGUCUCAGUGGGGCCCUGCUGACUAUAUGGCUGACAAAAAGAGGAGGGUGGUUCGGUGAAAGUAAAGAAAUUAGUAUCAAAGAUGAUUGAGAGGUGGCCUCUUGCCAAAUGCGUUUAUUUCGACAGUUAGAUAGCGUUGGUCAGAUUUCUCAAGUGAUACUUUGGAUUGAUUAAGACUGCCUAUCCUUCUGGGUGUUGAAGUUAAGAAAGAUUCUUGACUGAAACACACAUGGCCAUAAAGAGUAUUAAAUGAUUAGGCUUCUCAGCCUUUUUGCAAGCUACUCUUUUGGCAAUAUAUAGGACUUUUUGCCAUUGUCAAUCUAACUUCCAAAUAGGCUUAGAUUAAAGCUAGGGAGAGGGAAUAGCUUGUUGUUUAUAUUAUACGCUAAUCAAUCUCCUUAUGUUAUAUUUAGUAGGCCAUAAUGCAAUGUAAUUCAAUCAAAUUUUAUAUUAAGUUCACUAAAAAGUUAUAAGAAUAAAAUU
RNAcentral lists this unclassified non-coding RNA (671 nucleotides) under Hevea brasiliensis (rubber tree). Lineage: Eukaryota; Viridiplantae; Streptophyta; Magnoliopsida; Malpighiales; Euphorbiaceae. The record is from RNAcentral.